CUCCAGCUGUCUGUCCCGCAGAGAGGUAGUUAGAAUGGACUCCAAGGCAAGAAGUUGACAGAGAAGCAAGGGUCUUGAGGGGUGAGCCCUAUGACUAAAGAUACACGAGCUUCUCUACAACCAUUUCCUCGGAAAGCCCUUUUGCCAGCUUAGCGUAGAGAGAUAGCCCAAUGAAAGGAAGAAUAUAUGGGUAGAUCAAAGCCGGCUGAAGGCCAAGAAUGGGAUACGGGGAUGAAAGCUCAGAGACCAUUUGUUCAACUUCUCUACCAGAAGUGGAAGAUGAACCCAUAUGAACUGAGUUCUAAACCACGUGAUUGAUAUCAUGGCGUAGAUAUAACAUGAUUCUAUUUCUUAGCGGGAAGAGCCUCUCCAGCCUUAGGGGAGAACCAAAGACCCCUUUCUCUUAUGUACUUAGCCGCGGGCAUAAAUCUCCUUCCUAUAAAGAAGGGAUCGAUCUCCAAGCAAAGUUGAAAGCGGUAAGGCAUUCAAUUAAUUAAGUUGUGGUCAAUCUUCAGAUAUGGAAUAGGUACCAAACCGGAGUCAGAGUCAGCUGCGGCAUUUCAUUCAGUCAGCUUGGCUUUUUAUCUAGUUUUCCUUUUCCUUGGCGCCCUUCUUUAGUCAAUCUCGCAUUGGUCCAUUCCGGUCUUCAGUCAGUCAAGUCAGUUUGCACCAAGCAAGUAAGCAAGCCAGUGAUUUUAUCCGAGGGUGAAUAAACUAAGGUAGUGAAGUCAUCCUAGCUCAAUGCUUUCCUAUCUAGUCCUAGAGCCUUCAAUUCAAAAAAAGACUUUAUAGAAAGGAAAAAUGGAAUCCUUUGAGAUGAGAUAGGUUGAGAAAGCGCGUUAAUAUCCUCUUGAGAAGUCAUCUUGCCACUAAGAUAAGGAUCUCAAUCAAAUAAUAUGAGGAAUGAUGGUCAGUAGUCAAGAGGUUCUGGUAAUCUCGCACGAUGUGGCAAGGAUAUUGGUGUGAUUCAAUAUCCAAUUUCCAAUCCUAAAGGGCUCAAAUCCUAUGACGCCUUUUGUGUUUAAGGGUGGAUAACUAAAAUGAAUAGUAUUGGACUCCCCUUUUUUUAAAAUCCAACUGAUACGGGAUUUAAGAAAGAAAAAGUCCUCUUCCCCCAAAGUUCAAUGUGUUUGGCAGAAUCGCAUAUGAGGCAAGGUUUUUCUCCCUUAAACUCUUUUUUUAUACUAAUAUACAAAUUGGAAAAUAAAAAAUAAAAACUUACAUGCACCAUAGUUGUAUGCAUGCAAUGUUCAACAUUGUUU
This 1262-nucleotide long non-coding RNA is filed under the name Vigna radiata. RNAcentral describes it as "long non-coding RNA (VRAD_LNC002594)". Lineage: Eukaryota; Viridiplantae; Streptophyta; Magnoliopsida; Fabales; Fabaceae. The record is from RNAcentral.